AACAGGAUUAGAUACCCUGGUAGUCCACGCCGUAAACGAUGUCGAUUUGGAGGUUGUGCCCUUGAGGCGUGGCUUCCGGAGCUAACGCGUUAAAUCGACCGCCUGGGGAGUACGGCCGCAAGGUUAAAACUCAAAUGAAUUGACGGGGGCCCGCACAAGCGGUGGAGCAUGUGGUUUAAUUCGAUGCAACGCGAAGAACCUUACCUGGUCUUGACAUCCACAGAACUUUCCAGAGAUGGAUUGGUGCCUUCGGGAACUGUGAGACAGGUGCUGCAUGGCUGUCGUCAGCUCGUGUUGUGAAAUGUUGGGUUAAGUCCCGCAACGAGCGCAACCCUUAUCCUUUGUUGCCAGCGGUUAGGCCGGGAACUCAAAGGAGACUGCCAGUGAUAAACUGGAGGAAGGUGGGGAUGACGUCAAGUCAUCAUGGCCCUUACGACCAGGGCUACACACGUGCUACAAUGGCAUAUACAAAGAGAAGCGACCUCGCGAGAGCAAGCGGACCUCAUAAAGUAUGUCGUAGUCCGGAUUGGAGUCUGCAACUCGACUCCAUGAAGUCGGAAUCGCUAGUAAUCGUAGAUCAGAAUGCUACGGUGAAUACGUUCCCGGGCCUUGUACACACCGCCCGUCACACCAUGGGAGUGGGUUGCAAAAGAAGUAGGUAGCUUAACCUUCGGGAGGGCGCUUACCACUUUGUGAUUCAUGACUGGGGUGAAGUCGUAACAAGGUAACC
RNAcentral lists this ribosomal RNA (730 nucleotides) under uncultured bacterium. RNAcentral describes it as "bacterial SSU rRNA". It matches the Rfam family "Bacterial small subunit ribosomal RNA", at positions 771 to 1501 of the family's 1533-position model. The record is from RNAcentral.